RNAcentral lists this transfer RNA (72 nucleotides) under Desulfobacterales bacterium. RNAcentral describes it as "tRNA-Lys". It matches the Rfam family "tRNA". Rfam says of the family: Transfer RNA (tRNA) molecules are approximately 80 nucleotides in length. Their secondary structure includes four short double-helical elements and three loops (D, anti-codon, and T loops). Lineage: Bacteria; Pseudomonadati; Thermodesulfobacteriota; Desulfobacteria; Desulfobacterales. The record is from RNAcentral. RNAcentral also lists the same sequence under 1 other name.
GGGCGUGUAGCUCAAUGGUAGAGCAGUGGCCUUUUAAGCCAUUGGUUGCGGGUUCGAUUCCCUCCACGCUCA